GGGUCAUGAACCACCCCUCGCGCUUGGCGUGAAAAACACCUUGGAAUGAGUCGGACCCCUCUCACGAAUAUAUAGCCGAAAGAAUUUUUCGAAAAUCUAAAGUAGGACCGGAGAUAUAACGAUCGCAAUAUUUACCCUCUCAACUCGCUUCAUUCCGGAGGAGAGGACAGCGCCGUUCGAGGAGCCCCGCCCAGUGUGCAUUACGUCACCUCGUUUCAAUGUUGUGUGGUCUCCUUUCCGCGUAACUUAGAGGUGCUGACAGCUGCUGCUGGCAACUCAUAGUUCCGGUCGGCUGCUUCUCGCUGCGCGGUGUAUCGCGUGUGGGCUGGUGUGGGGUCUAGGCGCUGACGCGAAUAUUUGCAUUGAUACUACUGUCGUCUAAGCCGCUGUGUUUCCCUUAGCCGCACGCCUACUGCCUUGGAAGCGCGCAUGCUUACGUCUUCUGUGUGCGGCUUGUCUUUCGAUCGUGCGCGUACGCCAGCAGCAGGCGUAACAGCACGCCGAUGGAUCCCGCGCUCCGAGCACGGAUCGAACGUAAGACACGGGAAAUGCGUUUCGACCCUUAUAGUGACUCACCACUAAGGUCUGCAACUCGGGAACCGGACGACCCAGAGCCUCCAGGACCUCCACAACGUGGCGGCGACGACAUGAAUUGGUGCACUUGUGGCCUGUGCUUGGCCAGCGAAAAUGCAGUAGAAAACCUGUGCUGUCGGGAUAUUCCGAAAAUAAUUGAAAAAGGCAAUGAAGACUGCAUUACCCGUCAUGCACACUUCACAAGCCUCUGUUUGAACCCGGCUGUCCUGGAAGCUAUGUACUGGGAGGUGACGGAGAAUGGCACUAACAUCAUGGGAGAAAUCCACAAGUAAAAUUCACCUGCUAAGCGUGUAGUUAAGGUGGCUUUCUCAUGCAUUCUUCUUGCUUACAGAAAAUAUCGCUUCGUGGCGUACAGGAUGUUCACCAGGUGGAUAUGGAAGAAGCUUGGGAGGAACAACAGGGUUGUGCUGCCUGCUUGCGUUGUAGCAAGGAUAAGGAAGGAGUUCCCAUCAGCAUCUUACGUUGGCUUCCAGUACCCCUCGCUAUGAAUUACGGGGUGGCCCCGAUGAGCUGCUGGCAAGGCUGCUCCGGUGUGAGCUGGCCUCACACUUCAUGAUCACAGCUGUGAUGAGCUCGUCAACAUACCCUACAAGUAAAUAAAAUGAACUGUCAUGUCACAGUGUGACUCUUUUCUGUAAGUGGGCUGGCCAUAUAAAACAUGUUACCAAGACAUUAUUAGAACUUGUUGUUGGGCUAGUUGGUUACUUGUCAUAUUGAAGGUACUUAGCGCAACUUGGCAUUCACUGAAAAAACACUCUCAUUCACACACGCAUCCACUCAAGAACACACCCCAGACUGCGCGUGUUUUUUGAGUGAAUGCCAACGUGCGCUAAGUAUCUUCAAUAUGUUACCAAGGCAAACGUUAUAGGCAUGCAUCAGGCAGUGUUAGCAUUAGCCGUGAACGUAGUAAAUUUCAUAAUAAAAGAAUUUU
This is a long non-coding RNA of Rhipicephalus sanguineus (brown dog tick), 1525 nucleotides long. RefSeq lists it as uncharacterized. The record is from RefSeq and is a predicted model, not a curated record. The transcript has 3 exons. Lineage: Eukaryota; Metazoa; Arthropoda; Arachnida; Ixodida; Ixodidae.